Molecule: ribosomal RNA, 649 nt
Filed under: uncultured bacterium
Lineage: Bacteria
Description: bacterial SSU rRNA
Rfam family: Bacterial small subunit ribosomal RNA
Source: RNAcentral
AUGGAAUUUUAAUUGACUGAGUGGCGGACGGGUGAGUAACGCGUGGGUAACCUGCCUCAUACAGGGGGAUAACAGUUAGAAAUGACUGCUAAUACCGCAUAAGCGCACAGGAUUGCAUGAUCCGGUGUGAAAAACUCCGGUGGUAUGAGAUGGACCCGCGUCUGAUUAGCUAGUUGGUGGGGUAACGGCCUACCAAGGCGACGAUCAGUAGCCGACCUGAGAGGGUGACCGGCCACAUUGGGACUGAGACACGGCCCAAACUCCUACGGGAGGCAGCAGUGGGGAAUAUUGCACAAUGGGGGAAACCCUGAUGCAGCAACGCCGCGUGAGUGAAGAAGUAUUUCGGUAUGUAAAGCUCUAUCAGCAGGGAAGAAAAUGACGGUACCUGAGUAAGAAGCCCCGGCUAACUACGUGCCAGCAGCCGCGGUAAUACGUAGGGGGCAAGCGUUAUCCGGAUUUACUGGGUGUAAAGGGAGCGUAGACGGCGAUGCAAGUCUGAAGUGAAAGCCCGGGGCUCAACCCCGGGACUGCUUUGGAAACUGUAUGGCUGGAGUGCUGGAGAGGCAAGCGGAAUUCCUAGUGUAGCGGUGAAAUGCGUAGAUAUUAGGAAGAACACCAGUGGCGAAGGCGGCUUGCUGGACAGUAACUG